CUCUGCCGCCCGCCGAACCCGACCCCGGGAAAUCCUCCUAGCCGCCGCCUCCCAGCGCCGGGUCUCCCCGAGCGUGUGCUCUCGGCUGCGAGGCCCUGCAUGCGCAGUGUCUGGGUUCGCGGCGUCAAGCGGAGCCUCGGUCCAGCCUGGGCAGCCGAGAGCGCGGGGACUGCUGAACGCGGUCCGCUCCCCGCCAGCCGUUCGGGACCCCAGCCUGGGGGAAAGCCGACAGCGUCCCUCUCCGCGCAAACUCCACGCGGCAGCCUGGACUGGGAUGUGGGGCCAGGGGGCUGAAUAAUUAACAACCAGGAGAAGCCGGGGAGAGCGGGAAGCCUGGCAAGCCAGGGAAAGGGAAGAUGAGACAGAGAGACAUAGAGAGACAGGGACAGAGGGAGACAGAGAGGGGGCUAAGAGCGACGCGGGCGAGAGAGGAAGAAAGGCUGGGGAGAAGGAAAAAUGAGAUAAAUAAAGGAAAAAAGAGAAGCGAAGGGCGGUGGGAGAGGCAGCCGGGCCUCUCUGGGAGCUUAGCCAGAGGCGCCCGUACCCCCCUCCCCUGCGCGUUUGCUGGGAGCCGCUCCCUUUCCCUUUUCUUUCCAAGCUGCCGAAUUCUGUCCCUAGACGCUACGUUCCCAGUAGAGGGUAGGGCCAGGAUCCAAAGAUGCCGACCGUGGCCGUGGCUCUCUGGAAGCAGGCAAAUGGGAUGGAGAAUCUGUGGGCUAUAGAGAAGCUGUGACAUUGUAGGGCACAGAAAAAAGGCCUCCGAGAAGGGUCCAGCCAGCAGACCCCCACCCCCCAACCCCCGGAUCCAGGGCCGCUUCUGGAAUCACAUUAGGGAGAGGCUGGCCUGGUUCAGAGCUCGCCCAUCCUAAACAAGAUAAAUAAAUAAUUCCCCGCUGGCCUCAGUGUGGGAGGAAUCAAAGAACCAGAACAAAUACCUCCCACAGCCUCCCUGCCCACCCUCCACCCCAUCCCCGGACAGGUGGGGAAAGGGCUGCUAUGACCAGCUUUGUGGCCUUGGUCAAGUCACUUCCUCCAUCCCUUUUUGCCUUUAUAAACGGAGAGCCUUGGGCUGGAAGCCAUGGAAGUCGCUCCAGUGGAAAGACGGUCAGAGCUGGGAAUGAAUGGGACGUAGGAGUCACUCCAAAUGAGACCAACCCAGAUUUGGUGGGUCAGUUAAGCUCAUCCCAGAACAUUUUGGACCUCGUAGGUAAACAUAUUGUGUAUUAAUGCGUGGCUGGGUGUGGGCCAAUCUGAAAGAAAGCAAUCGGCUGAGUGGGUGGGAGGCGAGGAGUGGGCUGCUUCUGUGAGAGAAGCCCAGGAGAACAGGGAGCAAGAGGGCUUCCCAGGAGGGUCCCCGACAUGAGAUCAAUGACCAGACAGGGUGCUGCGGCAGAAGAGGAUGGCAUAAAGGCCAGACAGCUUGGUGGAGGGUGCUGGUGCUGGGAAGAGCACAGUUUGAGGCUGGCCGUGUGACUCCAAGCCAAUUAAACUCUCCGACCUCCUUCUGAACAGGCAAAAUGGAGGAGCGGAAACCAAUUUCCCUGGGUUGUGGUAAUAAGAACUGAAUAAAUUAAUAUACCUGCUUGGCUCUUCAUGGAUAAGAAAUCGGUGUGUGUGUGUGUGUGUGUGUGUGUGUGUGUGUGUGUGUAUUUCCAGUUCAGGAAUGUCACGUUCAUAUUGUUAUAUCUUCUUGUUUGGGGUGGUGCUGAGUGGAGGACGUGUGAGGAAUGGCUGUAUUUUGCUGCCUGUCACUCUUGCCUUCCUGUUUUAACCAGUCUCUGAAUCCCUGUGUCAGACUCAAAUUAUUGCAGAUAAUUAAAUAUAUAAUAUGAAGCGUUGCUCUUUUUAAAAAGACACUGAAAUAAAAUAAAACAUCCCUCAAUUCAUUGAAAUAGCCGCAAUAAAACACUGUGGAAGUCAAAUGUUUCCUGGAGCCUCCACCAGUUACCUGCUGCAUCUUUUACAGUUAAAGUUAACACACUCAAAAGGGAUUGUAUUUCUAUCUGGAAUUGAGUAAUUGGUACUGCCUUUCUGUCUGUCCAACCCCACCCCCACUUUCCUUAUUUCUGUGCUUUAUUUUCAGAGAAUUAAGGAGAUUCUAUGUAUGGAAAAUGCA
Molecule: long non-coding RNA, 2116 nt
Filed under: Homo sapiens (human)
Lineage: Eukaryota; Metazoa; Chordata; Mammalia; Primates; Hominidae
Description: HSALNT0015842
Source: RNAcentral